Molecule: ribosomal RNA, 1041 nt
Filed under: Triticum aestivum (bread wheat)
Lineage: Eukaryota; Viridiplantae; Streptophyta; Magnoliopsida; Poales; Poaceae
Description: partial small subunit ribosomal RNA
Source: RNAcentral
AUGGCGCUGGAGACGCGGAAGCUCUACGUCGGCGGCCUCCCGCCGUCGGCGCAACAGGAAGAACUCCAGGAGCACUUCGGCCGCUACGGCGAGGUGCUGCGCGUCCGUGUCGUCCGCGACUGGGAGACGGGCCAGUGCCGCGGCUUCGCGUUCGUCGAGUUUGCCGACGACGAGGGCCCGCGCGCCGCGCUCCAGGAGAAGGAGAAGGCCAACCAUGUCUUCGGCGACCGCACGGUGGAUGUUAAACGAGCUCGAACCAGGCCAAUGCGAUACCAAAAUGAGCAAUCAUUCUACCAAUACGCUUUAAAUCAGAGCCCAAUUCAGAGCCCAGUUCACAACCAGUGGUACACUCAGUCUUCUAGUAACAACUCAUAUGCUGGUAAUGGUCAUAGAAGUUGUGAUCCAAACAAGGUCUUUGUUGGUGGGCUACGAGGUAAUGUUACCAAGGAGCACCUCCAGAGCUAUUUUGAGAAGUUUGGCAGAAUAACAGAUGUUGUUGUGAUACGUGAGGGGGCUAGUCAGAGAUCACGAGGCUUUGGUUUCAUUACAUUUGAUUCAGAGGAGGCUAUGGUAAAUGUCUUGGAGAGUAAAUUCCAUGAUUUGAACGGUACAAAGGUUGAAACUAAGAGAGCUAUUCCCAAGGGUCAUAGCUACUACCAGGAUACGCGACAAUAUAAUCCUAUGAUAUGGGAUGGCAACAAUCCUCCCAUUGGCUUUGCUGGAGCAUACCCACCUCACAUGCAGCAUAUUGUUAAUAAUCAUUAUGUGAUGCCUAUGCCACAAUACAUGUGCUUACCAGAGUAUGUCUACAUGAUGAAUGGAGGAGUCCCCUUGACAAGGCAAGGUUCACUCUAUACAGGCUAUGGAACAAUUGGGUAUGGGUAUGAUCACGUGAAUACAAAUCGUUUUGGUGCUCAACUUGGGGAAGCUAAAAGUGAUAACAAACUGAUUGAAGACAUAAAAGAGCAACAAGUGGACCUACCAGCUACCAGGCAAGAAACUUUGGGCAUGGAUGACCAGGCUACUGUUACAACAUUGUAA